UCCUUCUGCGUCAACUCCAUUUCAGCAUCUGUUUUCUCCUGUGGAGUCUGAGGCUUCAUGUUUCAUGAAAAGAAGGACCUUCUCCAGAUCACUCCCAGGAUGAGCUUUGGUCACCUCUGAGGAGGUCACUGAUCAAUUUUUAAUGAGGCUCAGGUGGUGCAUUGCUUGAAUAGGCAUUGGUGGGACCAUUGGCUGACUCAGCUUCAUGAAGGACCUCACGCUCUAAGACUGGGAAGUCAACUCCAACAAAAAUUGGGACGAUGUGGAGUUCCCAUCGUCGCGCAGUGGUUAAACGAAUCCGACUAGGAACCAUGAGGUUUCAGGUUCCAUCCCUGGCCUUGCUCAGUGGAUUAAAGAUCCGGCGUUGCCGGGAGCUGUGGUGUAGGUCACAGAUGCGGCUUGGAUCCCUCGGGUUCUUAACACGCUGAGUCAUAAUAGGAACUCCAAUUUAGUAAAUUUUAUCAAUUCGCCUGAGCUGGUCCCUAGAGAAUGGGGCUUCAAGGCGAGAGGGCCCCUUCUGUUUUGCCCCAUCUAUUUCUCUCCUGCCUCCUGAAGUGGACUGAGAAGUUCCUAGAGGCAGAAUUCCAUUUACUCGGCUCCGGGCUGAUCCCCAGCACCUGGCAUCAUGCCUGGCACUUAGACAUUCAAUAACUAUGUGCUGAGGAAUGAGAUGAAGGCUAACUCCCUGAAAAAUGCAUCAGCUCUUCCCUUGAAAGCCCUAAUGUCUCUUGCUGGAAUUCUCUCUCUUUUAAAUUUAACUCUACAGUAACACUGGCUCAGAGUGAAAAAUCUGGAGUUGGCUGGGAAAAGAACCAGUAAAAAGGUAGCCUAAGUGAUGCAAUACUGGCGCUCCUGCUUUUCAACACAUUCCCAUCUCCCAAGCACAUACUACUCGCCAGACACGGUGCUCGCGCACUGGAGCUACAAACCCUUACCUUGGCCAUGCCGAUGGGAAUAAAUAGAGCAUCCCUAGGAUUAGUCUUAUCCCACUAAUAACAACGAUUAGGGUCCAGGUCUGUGUUACAGGCACUAUCUGAGGUGCUUUGCUAGGUUUAUAGGUAGUGCUAUGUUAUGCCAAUUUCACAGAUCAGCAGGCGGAGACUCAGAAAAGUCAAGAUGUUUGUUCACGUUCACAGCUAUUGGUGAAGACCAAGCUUAGGUUCCCGCUGCCUUCCUGAGAGGCCAUCCUGAGAUGGCCAGCCUCCAAAUCACCAGGAUUGCUGGAUUAAAAUGAAGAUUCCCAGGCCUAGGGCUGAAGGAUCAGAAUCCAUAGGAGCAGGAGCUCACGCAGUGGCUUGGCCGUUUCGAACCCUACUAGUAUCCAUGAGGAUGUGGGUUCAAUCCCUGGCCUCACUCAGUGGGUUAAGGAUCCGGAAUUGCCGUGAGCUAUGGUGUAGGGGGCAGACACAGCUCAGAUCCUGCAUUGCUGUGGCUGUGGCAUGGACUCCAGCUGCAGAGCUGAUUCAACCCCUAGCCUGGGAACCUCCAUAUGCUGCAGGUGUGGCCCUAAAAAGAAAAAAAAAAAAAGAAUCCCUAGGAGGGGAGCCUGGGAAUCCUCAUUUUUUUAAAUUCCAGUUUGGGGUAAAUUAUUUAUUUAUUUGUUUAAAGUAUAGCUGAUUUACAAUGUUCCUUCAGUUGUUGCUGUACAGCAGAGUGACCCAGCCAUACAUAUAUAUUUUUUCUUUUUUUAAUACAAUCUUCCAUCAUGUUUUAACCUGAGACUGUACACAGUUCCCUGUGCUGGGCAAUAGGAUCUCAUUGCUCAGCUACUUUAAAUGUAAGAGUUUGCAUCUCCUAACCCCAAACUCCCUGUCCAUGCCCUUCUCUCCCCGUCCCCCUGGCAAACACAAGUCUGUUCUUCAUGCCCACGAUCUGUUUCUGUUUUAUAGAUGGGAUCAUUUGUGCCAUAAUUUAGAUUCCACAUAUAAGUGAUAGCAUAUGGCAUUUGUCUUUCUCUUUCUGACUUACUUCACGUAGUAUGAGAAUCUCUAAUUGCAUCUAUGUUGCUGCAAAUGGCAUUAUUUUGUCCUUUUUUAUGGCUGAGUAGUAUUUCAUUGUAUAGGAAUCCCCAUUUUUGAACCCCUACCCUGGGUGAUUCAGAUUUGCCCUGAAGUUUGUAAUUUGCAUGGCAGCAUUCCAAUGGGCCACACUUACUCUUGGUGAGUUUACAAAACCCUCCUCCACUCCACCCUUGCUUCCUGCCAAGUGAUGAACAGAAUGGAAUGGAAAGGAAGGGAGGGGAAAAGGAGGCAGGAGGGGGGAAGGAAGGAACUUGCUCCAAAGUGGGCUCCAUUUCAGCUCAGGGUGGGCUGAGAGGGAGCCCCCUGCUCUUUUGCUCUUGGACCCGCAGCAGCAGGCUCUGUGCAGUGGCUGAAGCAGCAGCCACGGUGCCCGAACAGGAAGCGCCCUCUGUGGCUGGUGAUGUCAGCUCCGUGAAAGCAGCUGAAGCAGCGGGCUCCUGGGAUCAGCCGUGCUGUGAAAUUUAGCUGUACCCACAGCUCAGACCCUGAAUGUGCAUCCCUCCUCAAAUCAGAACAGUCCCGCACUGGGUCCCCUCCUGGUGGGCAGGGUCCGUAUCAGUCAUAGUUUUUAUUGUCUGUGAUUUAUUGAACACUUUCUCUGUUUCGAGGCGAUCAGUGAUUCUUUAUCACAAACAUCCAUGAGGUCAUUUUGAUCCCCACUUGACAAAAGAAGGAAAAGAGUCUUAGGUAGGAAACCUGCCCAGGAGUUCCUGUCGCAGCACAGAGGAAACGAACCCUACUGGUAGCCACAAAGAUGCGGGUUCCAUCCCUGGCCCCGCUCAGUGGGUUAAGCAUCCGGUGUUGCCAUGAGCUGUGGUGUAGGUCGCAGAUGCGGCUCAGAUCCUGCAAUGCUAUGGCUGUGGCAUAGGAUGGCGGCCACAGAACCUCCAUAUGUCACAGGAGCCACCCUGAAAAGCAAAAAAACAAAAACAAAAACAAACAAGAAAGAAAGAAAGAAAAAGCAAAGCAAAAAAAAAAAAAAAAAAAAAAAAAAAAAAAAAAAAAGACAGACAGACAAGAAAGAAAAAGAAAGAAACCCACCCAGUAUUUCCCAGCAAGUAACCAGUGAAGCCAGGAUUUGAUCCCGGGUCUGUUGCCAGAACCUGUCCUCUUAAGAAUUACUGAGAGCUUCUCCAUUUCUAAUUCCCAUGACUAAGGGCCUCCCACAUGAGUUGUUCGUGAUUUCAAAGACAAGAGGUACCCCUCUCUUCCCAGCCCCACAUCCUGAGCCUGGGCAGUAAACAUGCCCCUUAGUUCAUCUGUGCCGGCCAGGGAUCCAGCAAAUAUAAAACAAGCUGCCCUGUCAACUGAGAGCGCUGUGUGUCCAGUCCAGGUCUCUGCUGGGCCUGGCGGCAUGUGAGAAACACAGCGCCCUCUGCUGUCCUCUGCUUUCCCAAAGGGGAGACCAAGUGUAUGAUGGGGUCGGAGCAGUUUGACAACAGCACAAAGCCUCACAGAAAAGCCAGAGCCCUUGGUCGCCGCCCCCCCCCGCCCCCCGCAAUCUCACCUCCCACAGUCCACCCUUACUCAUUCCUACAUCUAACUGUUCCUCAAAAGGCCAAGUUCAUUCCCACCUCAGGGCCUUUGCUCGUGCCAUCACCUCUGCCAAAAAGACUGGCAGCAGUUUUCCCCAGAUCACCAAAGCCUUCCUCCUCCUGGUCACCCAGCUCUCUGAUCAUGGCCCCCUCCUGCGGGAGGCCCUUCCUGAUACCACGUAUAAAUUAACCACCCCCAUCCAUCCCUCUCCUUUACUCCAUCCUGCUUUAUUUCUUUGGGGGUGCUUCACACAUUUGAAAUAUCCUAUUCAUUAUUUGCUUAUGUGUUUAAAAAAGUACCUGGCAAACAGCUGACUCUUAUGAACACGGGUGAAUGAAUGGACGCAUGAAUAAAUGAAAGCAUGAAACAUCUUCCUAAGUGCUUCUGUAACAAGGAUCCAGGCACCUAGAGCCAAAGCACCCCCUGGCUUCAGUUAACAAGGGCAGAGACCACAAGAAAUCACCCCCUGGUUGGUAACAACUUAACAACCAGCCAGCAGUUAUAUCCACACACAUUGCUGGGCAUCGUUCCAAAGCUAAAAAGGCACUAAUUGCUUUUAUAUAAGGAGGUAGAAACUCCAUCUCCUUAGGUCCUGAUGCUCUGUAUUAUGGUAUCUGUUAAUUGUUAAUUGUUCCUGCCUCACACAGCCACGGCGGGCUUUCUUCUGCUUGUGUCUGGGAUGGUGACAGGUUCCUAUACAGAGAAGAGAGGUACCGGGGAAGCAU
This 4282-nucleotide long non-coding RNA is filed under the name Sus scrofa (pig). Its description in RNAcentral is "lncRNA (ENSSSCG00055020849.1)". The record is from RNAcentral. Lineage: Eukaryota; Metazoa; Chordata; Mammalia; Artiodactyla; Suidae.